UAUAUAUAUAUAAGUAAGAAAGUGUGAGAACAUCUCAAAAACAAAGAGAAAAAGAAACAAACAACCCAAUAUUACAUCAUUUUAUCUAUAUAUAUCACAAAAAGCUCUUGAAAGCAAAGAAAUAUGGGAACCCUAACCAACGGCUUAAAUCCCAAAGUAUUUUACGUGUUGCAAAUCACUCUAUCACACAUUCAUGAAUAAAUCCUUUUUUCUUGUUUUUUUUUUUGGGGGGGGUCCUUUAAUUAACAGUUUUUUUUUUUCAGAGGAAGACAAGUUUUAUGCUCAAAGCUGCAUCAAAUGCCUGCAGCCAUGCCCUACUUACUUCAUUUCGUCAAACUCAAGUUCCUAAUUUAUUGAAUUUAAAAAAUCCAAAAAAUAUGGAUCAAU
Molecule: long non-coding RNA, 387 nt
Filed under: Gossypium barbadense (sea-island cotton)
Lineage: Eukaryota; Viridiplantae; Streptophyta; Magnoliopsida; Malvales; Malvaceae
Description: long non-coding RNA (GBAR_LNC011982)
Source: RNAcentral